Long non-coding RNA from Lepisosteus oculatus (spotted gar), 947 nucleotides. RefSeq lists it as uncharacterized. NCBI's taxonomy places the organism in Eukaryota, Metazoa, Chordata, Actinopteri, Semionotiformes, Lepisosteidae. The record is from RefSeq and is a predicted model, not a curated record.
AUCCAGCAGACACUCAGGACCUACAUGAGAUUCUCCAAAAUCACUCUUGCCAUUUGCUUUUUUUUUUGCAUUAUUUUAAUUCAUCCUAUUGUCGAGUGCAGUUUUUUAACCUUCCUGGGCUGGAAAAUAAACCCAAGGUCCCGGGAAGCUUGAGCCCAAGGUGGAGAUAACUGGUCUGUAGCCCUUGCAGAUUUCUUUCUGAUCAGCGACGGAGUUGUGGAUUCCCUCAGUCCAGCUGCGCUGUGUUAGUUAUUGGUGCCUCUGGAUACACAGCUGAAGAUCUUCCGGGUCAGUUGUUACACACAGGAAACAAACUGUCAUGGUGGAUCACGGUGCUGUGCCCAUCGUGUGUUCCUGAGUGCAUGAACGUAUCAUGGGACUCUCCGGGUGAAUCUUCCACGAGAUUGUGGAGCUGAAAUGUUAGGUAAUUUAUUGCCAGUCUUGUUCUCCAUGGCCAGUGAAACCAGCUCAGUGUUUUAGAGGGGCUACAGGGGGACUGUAAGUGAGUCAGAGUUUCUCAGCUCCACUCCUUGGGGUCUUUCACGUCUCCUUAAGUCAUGAACAGCUCGUCACCUGGCAGAAGGGUAACACUGACCCAGUGGAGGGUAAAACAGGCCAGUUCCCACCUUCUCUGCCUCCGGCGGUUGACGAUUCAGAACAGAGCUCCUACUGGACUCCGGACCGUGAGACCAGUGAGCUAACACAGCGGCUGUGAUCCAUGGCAGAUUCCUAUUUAAUUAAAUCCAAUAAACACCUCAUGUAAAUGAUGUCUGCGUGGUCUCUCCCACGGAGUGGCUGCUCAUCAGCUGAGAUUGCAGCUCUGGGGCUCGACUGGCUGCUCUGUUUACUGUCAUGUUUCAGUGCCUGUUUUCUGUCACAGGAACUAAUGACACAUCGCUCUUCAAAGUCUCCUUUGACUAUGAUAUAAUUAAACAAAUAAAAAACAA